UCAAACUUGGUCAUUUAGAGGAAGUAAAAGUCGUAACAAGGUUUCCGUAGGUGAACCUGCGGAAGGAUCAUUAACAAAUCCCGUGCUGCGUCGGGUGCCACGUGCACCCUGACCGCGGUCACACAUGCUCCAUGUGCACGACACGCUCUGCACCUGCGACACAUUCUGCACAUCGUCUGAUUGUCAUGCCCAAUGUCAAUGUCAACUUUUAACAAUGGAUCUCUAGGCUCCUGCAUCGAUGAAGAACGCAGC
This 252-nucleotide unclassified non-coding RNA is filed under the name uncultured fungus. Its description in RNAcentral is "partial contains small subunit ribosomal RNA, internal transcribed spacer 1, and 5.8S ribosomal RNA". The stretch from base 1 to 73 matches the Rfam family "Eukaryotic small subunit ribosomal RNA", at positions 1759 to 1831 of the family's 1831-position model. Lineage: Eukaryota; Fungi. The record is from RNAcentral.